Non-coding RNA from Agelaius phoeniceus (red-winged blackbird), 2161 nucleotides. Lineage: Eukaryota; Metazoa; Chordata; Aves; Passeriformes; Icteridae. The record is from RefSeq and is a predicted model, not a curated record.
UCCAUUUAUAAAAACACCCUUAAUUUUCUUUGAGAAAGCUGGAAUAGCCACUAUUAAUGCUGCAGCAAACGCACAUGGCUAUGCACUUGACCUAAGGAUUGCUGAGUUUUGGUGGCAUUUAAUCACAUCAAUAUGGGGGGGAAGAGGCAGGGAGCCAGGAAAACAUCACUGUGUGCCUUCAGAAAACUUGUUAUUUUUAACAGUGCAGCUUAAGAUCAGCAGCCCUGAAGCAAAAUGGUCAGAACAUUUUCUUCCACCGGUGCUGACAGCACACCAAGAGCUUUCAGAGGCUGGAGAAACAGAGGCUGAUCUAUGAAGCCUCACCUCUCCCUGCAAUCCCUGCUAUGUCACCAGUGGAUGUAAAACUGCAAAAACCAACAGAGGACAAGAAACACUUGGGAAAUGCAUCACACCCAGUCCUGCAGAUCUGGAGAUCUCUGCCUUUGCUAGCCCUGGUUAUUUCACAGCUGGACCAGUUUGCUGAUCUGAACCACCCCUGGUAGCACAAAGUCAAUACAUUUCCAAUCUGCCAAGACAAAGAAAACAACUUCUGUAUAUAAUAAUGAAGAGAUGAAACUGCAAAGAUAAAUAAAACUGUCUGGAUUAGGACCUCCAGCUGUCAAGGCUGCAUCUUGACUUUCAAACAGCAUCACCUGCAGCACAGAACCUGCUCAUCCCAAAUCAAACUCAUGGGACACCAAGGUCAUAAUUUGCCCAUCUUUUGAGGAAUUUCUUUGGCUCUCAGGUAACCCAGAAUCAUAACUAACAGUGACAGCAGGAGGAGGCACAAAUGGAGACCAAACUGGGAGAAUGUCCCUAUGUGAAAGCCUUUAGUAGCCAAGGAGGGACCAUGAGUGACCACAGGCUCCCACAGAAUGACUGGUGUCAUUAAAUUCUACAUCAACCAGAGUCCAGUUUGACCUAAUAUUCAGGGUGGGGGAAAAAAGUAAUUACAUCAACAUCAAGCUAUUACCUGUCCAAGGGCAUAAGUGCCUAGUUCAUUAGCAACUCAGACAAACUUGUUUUGUAAGCUCCCUAUAUUAAAUUUGAAAUUUCCCUGCCCUUACAAAUUAAACUAACAAUUUGUGACACAAACAUGAGUAUAUGGACAAGAAAUCUUCCAACCUGCUCAAAUCCAAUGUGUACUUUGCCAUCCUGAAUAAGAACAAACUUAUUAGCCAACCUGACUUUAGUAUCUAAUUCAUUUAAAUAAAUUUAAAAAUAUUUUUUAAAUGAAUACUAGCAGUACUCCAGAUUUAUUGAAUCUUAGAGCAAAACCUACUGAUCUUUAAAAAUAUAUAUUUUUCAUAUUUCAUGGCUUAGUUCUACAGAAUAAGGGCAACAUGUCAUUUUAGGAACAUUGCUCUUUAAUGCUGGAAGUGGGGCUUUAUAACAAUUGAGAAGCUGCCACAGUACCAUUAAUAAUUUGGAUUUCCAACAUCCUUAGGUACCUUAAGAGAUGGAUGACCACACCAAAUUAAUUUAAUUUCUAUUUCAGCUUUCCUCCUCAUUAAUGAGGAGCUGAGACUCUCACAGAUGAGAGUUCCUCUACCCAAUCACAAUGAAAAGUCACCACCUGUGCUGCCCAUAUUAAAAUCAGAGGGGAGAUUUUCUUCUUUUUACCCAGAGGGAACCCUAAAUUUACCAGAUCAAUACUUUCUAAAACACACUUCACUCAGAAAAUGAGAACAAAGCUGCCAGAGUGAUUUCAGGGAGUGAUAAAAAGACUGUCAGGGAAACUCACUGAGCUGCCCCUGGAAGAACUGAUGACCAAGCAGGCACCAGGCAAUUGCAUCAUGUUUAUUACACAGCCAAGGGCAAGCAGAUCCUUCUGGUUUAAUCAAUGGCCUCCAAAGGAGGAAGUAGUUUGAAAAUAGUAAGCAUAAAACAAAAUACUCUUUUGGGUUCACUUUUUGAAUUUUCUCUGAUGUGUGAAAUCAUGUCCAUUAAUAAAGCUGAGCACAUGCUGAAAGAGAACUUCAUAAAAAUCUACUUCUUGAACACCUUUGAUGCCAAAACUGCACUUUUAUUCAAACUCAGUUUGGUGUAAAUGCUGUGAGUGAACUGUAGAGGGGUCCUGUUAAAAAACUCUGAGCUUGUCUUAAAACAAAAGAUAUAUUUCCUAUUUAAAACCAUUAACCUUAGACACCUUUUUUUUUUG